RNAcentral lists this ribosomal RNA (468 nucleotides) under uncultured bacterium. Its description in RNAcentral is "partial 16S ribosomal RNA". It matches the Rfam family "Bacterial small subunit ribosomal RNA", at positions 28 to 507 of the family's 1533-position model. The record is from RNAcentral.
GACGAACGCUGGCGGCGUGCUUAACACAUGCAAGUCGAACGGAAAGGCCCUGCUUUUGUGGGGUGCUCGAGUGGCGAACGGGUGAGUAACACGUGAGUAACCUGCCCUUGACUUUGGGAUAACUUCAGGAAACUGGGGCUAAUACCGGAUAGGAGCUCCUGCUGCAUGGUGGGGGUUGGAAAGUUUCGGCGGUUGGGGCUGGACUAGCGGCUUAUCAGCUUGUUGGUGGGGUAGUGGCUUAUCAAGGCUUUGACGGGUAGCCGGCCUGAGAGGGUGACCGGCCACAUUGGGACUGAGAUACGGCCCAGACUCCUACGGGAGGCAGCAGUGGGGAAUAUUGCACAAGGGGCGGAAGCCUGAUGCAGCAACGCCGCGGGCGGGAUGACGGCCUUCGGGUUGUAAGCCGCUUUCGCCUGUGACGAAGCGUGAGUGGCGGUAAUGGGUAAAGAAGCACCGGCUAACUACGUG